Molecule: ribosomal RNA, 279 nt
Filed under: uncultured bacterium
Lineage: Bacteria
Description: partial 16S ribosomal RNA
Rfam family: Bacterial small subunit ribosomal RNA
Source: RNAcentral
UGCCAGCCGCCGCGGUAAUACGGAGGGUGCAAGCGUUAUCCGGAUUCACUGGGUUUAAAGGGUGCGUAGGCGGGUAGGUAAGUCAGAGGUGAAAUCCUGGAGCUUAACUCCAGAACUGCCUUUGAUACUAUCUAUCUUGAAUAUGGUGGAGGUAAGCGGAAUAUGUCAUGUAGCGGCGAAAUGCAUAGAUAUUACUUAGAACACCAAUUGCGAAGGCAGGUCACUAAGUCUUAACUGACGCUGAUGGACGAAAGCGUGGGGAGCGAACAGGAUUAGAUA